GCCUUGCUGGCUCAGUCAGUGGAACAUAAGACUCUUGAUUUUGGGAUUGUGGGUUCAAGCCCCAUGUUGGGUG
RNAcentral lists this transfer RNA (73 nucleotides) under Canis lupus dingo (dingo). It matches the Rfam family "tRNA". Rfam says of the family: Transfer RNA (tRNA) molecules are approximately 80 nucleotides in length. Their secondary structure includes four short double-helical elements and three loops (D, anti-codon, and T loops). Lineage: Eukaryota; Metazoa; Chordata; Mammalia; Carnivora; Canidae. The record is from Rfam by way of RNAcentral.